Molecule: ribosomal RNA, 725 nt
Filed under: uncultured Bacilli bacterium
Lineage: Bacteria; Bacillati; Bacillota; Bacilli
Description: bacterial SSU rRNA
Rfam family: Bacterial small subunit ribosomal RNA
Source: RNAcentral
CAAGUCGAACGCUUCUUCCUCCCGAGUGCUUGCACUCAAUUGGAAAGAGGAGUGGCGGACGGGUGAGUAACACGUGGGUAACCUACCCAUCAGAGGGGGAUAACACUUGGAAACAGGUGCUAAUACCGCAUAACAGUUUAUGCCGCAUGGCAUAAGAGUGAAAGGCGCUUUCGGGUGUCGCUGAUGGAUGGACCCGCGGUGCAUUAGCUAGUUGGUGAGGUAACGGCUCACCAAGGCCACGAUGCAUAGCCGACCUGAGAGGGUGAUCGGCCACACUGGGACUGAGACACGGCCCAGACUCCUACGGGAGGCAGCAGUAGGGAAUCUUCGGCAAUGGACGAAAGUCUGACCGAGCAACGCCGCGUGAGUGAAGAAGGUUUUCGGAUCGUAAAACUCUGUUGUUAGAGAAGAACAAGGACGUUAGUAACUGAACGUCCCCUGACGGUAUCUAACCAGAAAGCCACGGCUAACUACGUGCCAGCAGCCGCGGUAAUACGUAGGUGGCAAGCGUUGUCCGGAUUUAUUGGGCGUAAAGCGAGCGCAGGCGGUUUCUUAAGUCUGAUGUGAAAGCCCCCGGCUCAACCGGGGAGGGUCAUUGGAAACUGGGAGACUUGAGUGCAGAAGAGGAGAGUGGAAUUCCAUGUGUAGCGGUGAAAUGCGUAGAUAUAUGGAGGAACACCAGUGGCGAAGGCGGCUCUCUGGUCUGUAACUGACGCUGAGGCUCG